UUAACAAGGCCUGUAUGUAGUGACAAUGACUGGAAGCUUCGUGAAUGGUGCCUACUCUGCACAGUGUUUACAUGUCUGACAUUAGGCAGCGAGGCUGCACAAUGAUUACUGGUGCAUAGAGUUUACUGGAUGUAUCCUGGAUGUGUUUCUCAUUUCAGACAGCUUCACUUCACUAAUGGCGUCCAUAAAACCAUAUCACUCUCAUGAGCAAUGUUCAUACCUUAAGGCACAGGUAUUUGGAAACCAACGAAGAAUCACAGAUCCUCUACUGUACCUUACAAUGGGCACAAGGAGUUUUUCCACAUAUUUGUCUUUUAUUCUGAUACGGCACCAUUAGCCUCUACAGUGUUCUAUAUUGUGGACUGCUGGGGGAGCGGCUUGACUGGAGUGGGACAGAAGUAGACUGGACAGGCUGGUCAGGAGUACCGGUUCAGCUGUGGGCUGUCCCCUGGACUCUACAGUGGAGGUGGGGAAGAGGAGGAUGUUGGCUGUACUGACAUCUAUCAUGAACAACAUCUCUCAUCCCCCUCUAUGACACUGUGGGUGCUUGGAGCAGCUCCUUCAGCAUCUGGCGUCAGCUGCUACAGUACAGGAAGGAAUGCUUGAGAAGGUCCUUCCUCCCAUCAUGUUUAAGACUUUAUAAUAAAAACCUGUAAAUGUA
Molecule: long non-coding RNA, 661 nt
Organism: Girardinichthys multiradiatus
Lineage: Eukaryota; Metazoa; Chordata; Actinopteri; Cyprinodontiformes; Goodeidae
Exons: 2
Source: RefSeq, a predicted model, not a curated record